RNAcentral lists this ribosomal RNA (180 nucleotides) under Schizophyllum commune. RNAcentral's name for it is "5.8S ribosomal RNA". The stretch from base 16 to 169 matches the Rfam family "5.8S ribosomal RNA". Rfam says of the family: 5.8S ribosomal RNA (5.8S rRNA) is a component of the large subunit of the eukaryotic ribosome. It is transcribed by RNA polymerase I as part of the 45S precursor that also contains 18S and 28S rRNA. Functionally, it is thought that 5.8S rRNA may be involved in ribosome translocation. Lineage: Eukaryota; Fungi; Basidiomycota; Agaricomycetes; Agaricales; Schizophyllaceae. The record is from RNAcentral.
CUAAAAAGUUAAUACAACUUUCGACAACGGAUCUCUUGGCUCUCGCAUCGAUGAAGAACGCAGCGAAAUGCGAUAAGUAAUGUGAAUUGCAGAAUUCAGUGAAUCAUCGAAUCUUUGAACGCACCUUGCGCCCUUUGGUAUUCCGAGGGGCAUGCCUGUUUGAGUGUCAUUAAAUACCAU